GACGAACGCUGGCGGCGUGCCUAAUACAUGCAAGUUGAGCGCUGAAGGUUGGUACUUGUACCCACUGGAUGAGCAGCGAACGGGUGAGUAACGCGUGGGGAAUCUGCCUUUGAGCGGGGGACAACAUUUGGAAACGAAUGCUAAUACCGCAUAAAAACUUUAAACACAAGUUUUAAUUGUGAAAGAUGCAAUUGCAUCACUCAAAGAUGAUCCCGCGUUGUAUUAGCUAGUUGGUGAGGUAAAGGCGCACCAAGGGGAUGAUACAUAGCCGACCUGAGAGGGUGAUCGGCCACAUUGGGACUGAGACACGGCCCAAACUCCUACGGGAGGCAGCAGUAGGGAAUCUUCGGCCAUGGACGAAAGUCUGACCGAGCCACGCCGCGUGAGUGAAGAAGGUUUUCGGAUCGUAAAACUCUGUUGGUAGAGAAGAAAGUUGGUGAGAGUGGAAAGCUCAUCAAGUGACGGUAACUACCCAGAAAGGGACGGCUAACUACGUG
This 497-nucleotide ribosomal RNA is filed under the name uncultured bacterium. Its description in RNAcentral is "partial 16S ribosomal RNA". It matches the Rfam family "Bacterial small subunit ribosomal RNA", at positions 28 to 507 of the family's 1533-position model. The record is from RNAcentral.